CCUACGGGAGGCAGCAGUGGGGAAUAUUGGACAAUGGGGGCAACCCUGAUCCAGCCAUGCCGCGUGUGUGAAGAAGGCCCUCGGGUUAUAAAGCACUUUCAGUGAGGAAGAACGCCUGGUGGUUAAUACCCAUCAGGAAAGACAUCACUCACAGAAGAAGCACCGGCUAACUCCGUGCCAGCAGCCGCGGUAAUACGGAGGGUGCGAGCGUUAAUCGGAAUUACUGGGCGUAAAGCGCGCGUAGGUGGCUUGAUAAGCCGGUUGUGAAAGCCCCGGGCUCAACCUGGGAACGGCAUCCGGAACUGUCAAGCUAGAGUGCAGGAGAGGAAGGUAGAAUUCCCGGUGUAGCGGUGAAAUGCGUAGAGAUCGGGAGGAAUACCAGUGGCGAAGGCGGCCUUCUGGACUGACACUGACACUGAGGUGCGAAAGCGUGGGUAGCAAACAGGAUUAGAUACCCGUGUAGUC
RNAcentral lists this ribosomal RNA (465 nucleotides) under Vreelandella stevensii. Its description in RNAcentral is "partial 16S ribosomal RNA". It matches the Rfam family "Bacterial small subunit ribosomal RNA", at positions 338 to 795 of the family's 1533-position model. Lineage: Bacteria; Pseudomonadati; Pseudomonadota; Gammaproteobacteria; Oceanospirillales; Halomonadaceae. The record is from RNAcentral.